RNAcentral lists this non-coding RNA (68 nucleotides) under Chloropicon mariensis. Lineage: Eukaryota; Viridiplantae; Chlorophyta; Chloropicophyceae; Chloropicales; Chloropicaceae. The record is from RNAcentral.
CUCGAUUCUUUUUUUUUUCCUUCUUUCUUCUUUUUCCCCCUAAAAGCCUCAAUUUCUUCUCAAAAGAU